GAUCAUUUCCUAUUACCCCAGUGCAGGCCAGUUUGUGAUGUUAGAUAGUAGUUGUGUAAUAUAUAUGCUAGACAAGGUUUUGUACUCCUGAUUCUAAUGUUUCGUUCCUCACGCCUGAAUUCAGGAAAAUCAGCCAAGAUACACAACAAACAUAUCAGCCGCAGCUAGCUGCUAUGCGCACAUGUGCAAAAACAAACUUAUUAAUCCUUUGCCGCAGACAAUACUGAAGCACUAACACAAACAAGAUCCUUCUGAAGAUAGUGUCUGAAUGCAAAUGAUCAUGACUUAUGAAUUUGGAGCCAUGGCCCAUGUGUAGGCAAGGGCAAUGAUCCCUUUUACUACUUGAGCGGUCCAACAGAGAUUAUUGAAGGUUGUUUCUGAAGUUGUGAUUGACUAGAACCAAAGGAAAGUUGGAGACUUUUUUGGUGUGAAUUGCUUGGAUUAAGUGGGAGUGAAGAUGUUCUUUCUGUCUAUAUCUGGUUCUAUUAUUGGCAAAUUUGUGCCUUCGAGAUUGCUGCGAGUGUUUGUGUUCCCGAGCUGAAAAUUUAGAUUAUUACCAUGUUUGGUCUCCUGAAUAUAAAUCAUGAUUCUUUGCAUCUCAAUUGCAGACCAGCGGACCUUUCCGUCCUCAUAUUCCCCGGAUUCAUUUUCUGCGAUCGAGCGCCCGAGCGGUUGCAUCUCGACGGCAGUUCCCUUUACAACCGAGUUAGCUUUAUACUAUGAGCAGUGAGCAAGUCAUGUAUAAAGCAAAAACAAAGUAUUAGUCUGCUAUCAAAUGGUACAUUUAUUUGAACUCUAAGGGCAGGUUCAGGGUCUCAUGAAGAGGGCAUGUGUUUGUAUUAGGUGAGAUCUGAACUGAUUCUGACCAAUGUGAAAUUAAUUUUGUUGUUGAUGGAUCUGCAAUUAUUUUUAUGUGCACAGAAGUGCCGUAGUUGAGAAGCCUGAGAAGAAUAUAUCACUUAGAUCAGAAGGUUUUGCAGUUGACAAGCUUACAGGUUUGAGCACCCCGAACAACGGGGUGGGCCCUUUGACCUGUGGGUUUUGCUGGUACCAAGAGAAGGAGGUUCCUUUUAACCUGCAGGAGCUCUGCCAAUGGCAGCGUGCUUUCCUUGACAAUGACGUGGUACUGCACGUACGCAAGAUGCAGCGAGUGAAAUCGGCGCAAGAGGGCAUCUUGCAAGCAGCACCAAAUCCUAUAUUAUGGGACCGAAUGUCUUAACUUGAUAAAAGGACUUUAUAUCGAAUGUGUUUGUGCGACUGAAGAUGAGGCAUGCUUUAUUUGAAAAAUUAUAUUGAGUGUGUUUGUGCGACUGGAGAUGGAGGAUGGCUUGUGCUCUCGCUUGUGCGGUUACCACGGUGCUCCGGCCAUUAUGAAGAGGUCAAAUGUGGCUCGGUGAUAGAAUUAAGCAUGAAGGAGGAAGAUACCAGCACCAGCCCCAGCAAUAAAGACUGCGGCAACGGCGACGGCAGUGUGUCCCGGCGAGCGUGAGCAAUGGCAGCAUCAUCUCUGACUCCGAGUACCUGACC
Molecule: RNA transcript, 1527 nt
Organism: Triticum aestivum (bread wheat)
Lineage: Eukaryota; Viridiplantae; Streptophyta; Magnoliopsida; Poales; Poaceae
Exons: 6
Source: RefSeq, a predicted model, not a curated record